GACAGAGGUGCCGAGCGUUAGGCGGAAUCACUGGGCUUAAAGCGUGUGUAGGCGGAUCGUUAAGUACCUUGUGAAAUCCCACGGCUUAACCGUGGAACUGCUGGGUAUACUGGCGAUCUUGAGCCACCUAGGGGCAACCGGAACAAAUGGUGGAGCGGUGAAAUGCGUAGAUAUCAUUUGGAACGCCAAUGGUGAAAACAGGUUGCUGGGGUGUGCUGACGCUGAGACACGAAAGCCAGGGAGCGAACGGG
RNAcentral lists this ribosomal RNA (251 nucleotides) under uncultured bacterium. RNAcentral's name for it is "partial 16S ribosomal RNA". It matches the Rfam family "Bacterial small subunit ribosomal RNA", at positions 524 to 776 of the family's 1533-position model. The record is from RNAcentral.